AUGCAAGUCGAGCGAACAGAUAAGGAGCUUGCUCCUUUGACGUUAGCGGCGGACGGGUGAGUAACACGUGGGUAACCUACCUAUAAGACUGGAAUAACUCCGGGAAACCGGGGCUAAUGCCGGAUAACAUUUAGAACCGCAUGGUUCUAAAGUGAAAGAUGGUUUUGCUAUCACUUAUAGAUGGACCCGCGCCGUAUUAGCUAGUUGGUAAGGUAACGGCUUACCAAGGCAACGAUACGUAGCCGACCUGAGAGGGUGAUCGGCCACACUGGAACUGAGACACGGUCCAGACUCCUACGGGAGGCAGCAGUAGGGAAUCUUCCGCAAUGGGCGAAAGCCUGACGGAGCAACGCCGCGUGAGUGAUGAAGGUCUUCGGAUCGUAAAACUCUGUUAUUAGGGAAGAACAAAUGUGUAAGUAACUGUGCACGUCUUGACGGUACCUAAUCAGAA
RNAcentral lists this ribosomal RNA (451 nucleotides) under Staphylococcus ureilyticus. RNAcentral's name for it is "bacterial SSU rRNA". It matches the Rfam family "Bacterial small subunit ribosomal RNA", at positions 55 to 488 of the family's 1533-position model. The record is from RNAcentral. Lineage: Bacteria; Bacillati; Bacillota; Bacilli; Caryophanales; Staphylococcaceae.